GCAGGUCUGAAGGCAAAAGAGAGUCCAAACCAGGACUAGCAAAGUGUACCUAAUAUAGCUGUUUAGUGUGUGUGUAAAAUAAAUAAAUAAUAUGGUAAUGGCUCUUUCCACUACUGAUAUAUAUAAAGUUUAAUUAGACUGUAAAACUAAAUCUUACUUUAGAUAAAUUUUAUUUUGUGAUUUCAUAAUGUGUACUAAACUGUAGUUAAAAUAAAUGUCAGGAUUCCUUUAUUUCACAUAUUGUAGCCUGUAAAUCAGGUUUGAGAGUCAGAGCUGAGGAGAAAACUUUGGCUCUCUCUGCUCCUCCAUCAGUGACCCUCCCCCCGCGCACCUGCACUGCAGCUCUCAAACUUUUGCAGGGCAUGUGACGUCAUUCAGUCCACAGUCGGAGUAGCCGUUUAAGUGGAGCUCUGAAGACUGCAAAGCACGCUUUCUGCAGGUGAAGGAAGCCACGGCAGCAAGCCAAAUACAGACGAUAACGUGGCGCUCGCAUGCAGUGAUAAUGGCUGUUCUGAUAGUGGUGUUUUUUGUGACUCCAGAUGGCUAAUAUUUGACAUAGCAGCUACUCCGUGUCCCCCAGAGAAAUGAAAAAGGAGGAGGCAGUGAG
Molecule: long non-coding RNA, 607 nt
Organism: Maylandia zebra (zebra mbuna)
Lineage: Eukaryota; Metazoa; Chordata; Actinopteri; Cichliformes; Cichlidae
Source: RefSeq, a predicted model, not a curated record